Molecule: long non-coding RNA, 212 nt
Filed under: Hordeum vulgare
Lineage: Eukaryota; Viridiplantae; Streptophyta; Magnoliopsida; Poales; Poaceae
Description: long non-coding RNA (HVUL_LNC004757)
Source: RNAcentral
UAUUAGGUUUAUCAAGUUGGGAUGAACACUAACCGUUAUGAGAUCUUCGUUUCUUUUGGAAGGAGGUGUACUAAUGUUGUUAGCAAUGUAUAUGAACUUGGGACUUUUGUUUCGAGAGGUACUAGCAUUAGUUUUAGAUGGUGUGAAGGCAGAACCCACUUUUUCAAUCACCUCCUCCAUUUUAUCAGUUCUACUCAAACCUGGUUCUAUCC